CCGAGUUAUACAACUCCCAAACCCCUGUGAACCUUACCUAUCGUUGCUUCGGCGGGACUGCCCCGGUGCCUCUGUGCCCGGAACCAGGCGCCCGCCGGAGACCCAAACUCUUGUCUUUUUAUACGUAUUCUGAGUGGCAUAAGCAAAAAUGAAUCA
This 156-nucleotide unclassified non-coding RNA is filed under the name uncultured Dactylaria. RNAcentral's name for it is "sequence contains ITS1". Lineage: Eukaryota; Fungi; Ascomycota; Orbiliomycetes; Orbiliales; Orbiliaceae. The record is from RNAcentral.